This is a long non-coding RNA of Plodia interpunctella (Indianmeal moth), 875 nucleotides long. RefSeq lists it as uncharacterized. The transcript has 3 exons. NCBI's taxonomy places the organism in Eukaryota, Metazoa, Arthropoda, Insecta, Lepidoptera, Pyralidae. The record is from RefSeq and is a predicted model, not a curated record.
AGCAACAGUUGGUUGUCAUGCUCCAGGGAUUUCAUGGAAAAUAGACGAUGUUUCGUAAACAAGACUGAAUAUAAACAUCGUAUCCAAUUUACAUUUCAAAUGAGAGUUACAACCAGGACGUGGAAAACACGAGGAAAACAUAGGACACGAUGUUACAAAAUAAAGUCAUCCUCGUUGUUUCAAUCUUGAAUGUGACGCCACGAAACAAUGGACAGCAAUCCCCAUUGGGAAUAUUCUUGUUCCCUAUCCGCUGUCAUGACUUGUUAUCAUUUAGUCGCCUCAUACGACAUCCACGGCACGAUAAGAAAUGGCGGGAAUCACACGCUGAGAACGUCACAAUCUAUACGAUAAAGAUAUAAAUAAUUUAUUGGAGUUGUAAAUAAAUAAAACAGCCGAGCCGAAGCGCCGGUUGCGAGCCGUGAUGCAACGACGUUCCGGCGACGUUAUAAUAAGGGAAUAGAAGUCAUCAAACUGGAACACAAUAAAAUCAUGACGAUCGCUAUCACCUCCAAGACAAAGGACUUCUUAGCUCGAGAUGAAAUAAGUUCUAAGACAUGCCUGUGCUAUUUUUUUAUAGUAGUAAAUUAACUCACUUUAUAUAAAAUACAUUUUAUAAGACAUUACAAAAAAUAUAUACUGAAAAAGGUCUGCUACUAGACUGAAACUAUAGUCGACUCUUUCAGCGAUAAUCACUCGUGAGUGACCCGUAUAUAAAAAAUAUAAACCAGAUGUUGCCCGGGGCUCCGCUCCCUUGGGAAUUUUGAGAUAAAAUAUAGCCAAUAGCAAUCUUGGAUAAUGUACCUUUCUAAUGGUGAAAGAAUUUUUGAAAUCGUUUUGGUAGUUUCGGAGAUUACACGCCUCAAACAUACAAACUC